This 764-nucleotide ribosomal RNA is filed under the name uncultured bacterium. RNAcentral describes it as "bacterial SSU rRNA". It matches the Rfam family "Bacterial small subunit ribosomal RNA", at positions 28 to 806 of the family's 1533-position model. The record is from RNAcentral.
GACGAACGCUGGCGGCGCGCCUAACACAUGCAAGUCGAACGGAGCUUAAAGAGCUUGCUUUUUAAGCUUAGUGGCGAACGGGUGAGUAACGCGUGAGUAACCUGCCCUAGAGUGGGGGACAACAGUUGGAAACGACUGCUAAUACCGCAUAAGCCCACGGUACCGCAUGGUACUGAGGGAAAAGGAUUUAUUCGCUUUAGGAUGGACUCGCGUCCAAUUAGCUAGUUGGUGAGGUAACGGCCCACCAAGGCGACGAUUGGUAGCCGGACUGAGAGGUUGAACGGCCACAUUGGGACUGAGACACGGCCCAGACUCCUACGGGAGGCAGCAGUGGGGGAUAUUGCACAAUGGGGGAAACCCUGAUGCAGCGACGCCGCGUGGAGGAAGAAGGUUUUCGGAUUGUAAACUCCUGUCGUUAGGGACGAUAAUGACGGUACCUAACAAGAAAGCACCGGCUAACUACGUGCCAGCAGCCGCGGUAAAACGUAGGGUGCAAGCGUUGUCCGGAAUUACUGGGUGUAAAGGGAGCGCAGGCGGGAAGACAAGUUGGACGUGAAAACCAUGGGCUCAACCCAUGAAUUGCUUUCAAAACUGUUUUUCUUGAGUAGUGCAGAGGUAGAUGGAAUUCCCGGUGUAGCGGUGGAAUGCGUAGAUAUCGGGAGGAACACCAGUGGCGAAGGCGGUCUACUGGGCACCAACUGACGCUGAGGCUCGAAAGCAUGGGUAGCAAACAAGAGAGAUACCCUGGUAGUCCAUGCCGUAAA